GGGCCUGUGGUCUAGUGGCAUGACGCUCGCUUCACAGGCGAGAGAACGCAGGUUCGAAUCCUGCCAGGCCCA
This 72-nucleotide transfer RNA is filed under the name Candidatus Woesearchaeota archaeon. RNAcentral's name for it is "tRNA-Val". It matches the Rfam family "tRNA". From Rfam's summary of the family: Transfer RNA (tRNA) molecules are approximately 80 nucleotides in length. Their secondary structure includes four short double-helical elements and three loops (D, anti-codon, and T loops). Lineage: Archaea; Nanobdellati; Candidatus Woesearchaeota. The record is from RNAcentral.